GAGAGAGAGAGAGAGAGAGAGAGAGAGAGAGAGAGAGAGAGAGAGAGAGAGAGAGAGAGAGAGAGAGAGAGAGAGAGAGAGAGAGAUUUACUUGAUUGUUUAGUUUUCACAAGCUUUAUUAUGAUGAUUAUAAACAGUAAUCUCUUAUUGGAUGUUGUAGAGGCAUUCUUAGGAAAGGCUGUGAAAAGAAAUUUACUUCACUCAGUUGCAUGGUGAAACAAACAAUUCUUUUAUUUCUAUUUUUUUUCUCUGAUAGAGUUGAUGUUGAUUUCAAUAUGAGAAACUAAGUACAGGUUUGAUGUGCAGCUUGUGAGCCUCUGUUAUUACAUUUCCCUCAGUAAUGAGAUGGUAGCAUGAUGAGGACUCUGUAGGAAGGCCACUUUAACUCCUUCAACAGCUGUCAUGCCUCCAUCUGUACAAGUGUAUUAGUGGUAGAAUGAAAAUAUGUUAAGUGGAGUUUUACAUGAUUGGGAAAGGCUGAUGAUUUAUGAACAUCUAUGCACUUUUCUUUGAACACUAGUAGUAAUAAGGUAUGUAGAUCUCUUCCUCCCAAACUCAUAACUGAAUGUAAGUACUGUAUAGUGGAUGACCGACAGUGUUACAUAUAAUCAUUAAAUGCAAGCUUUCACACCAUUUUUUUUUACUGUGAUUUGUUUUAUUUUGGUUUUCAGCAUUAUAGUUUUCCUGCUUUCAUUACUAAAAACUACUAUACUUUACCUUGAGUCAGCCAAUUUUUGUGAACUGAGAUUUUUAACAAAGACAAAUUCAGGUACCUUAGUAUAGUGGUUUUAAUUGCAUUUAUUUUUUUUGUAUUAUAGUACAGCAUAACUAUAUAUAUGAGCAUACUACAGGUUUAUGUAUGUUUAGGAAAUAUCAACUCAUUGAGGAAUUGCAAGACUCAUUGCAUCAUGUCAGACGUUUACCUCGAGAAAUGUUUGCAAUACUAAAGUGAGGUUUGUGUUGUGAAAGAAACCACCUAUAUUUGUAGAAAGUCGUGAAUAAUUUGAAACAAUUCUAUAGCCAGUUUUGUGUCAGUCUCCAUACAAAUCAUGUAACUACUAGUCUAUGAGCCAGAUUACAAAUUAGAGGGAAACAGUGCUUUUCUAAAAUGUUAAUAUCCACAGCUUGUAAUAAGUCAUGAUUAUUAUUUUCUUGUAAGGUCUCGGCUUUCCACAGAAAAUAUCUUGUUGAAUACAAGUCAGAUACAGAUACAAAUAAAUUUUAUACCAAUG
This is a long non-coding RNA of Portunus trituberculatus (swimming crab), 1232 nucleotides long. RefSeq lists it as uncharacterized. The record is from RefSeq and is a predicted model, not a curated record. The transcript has 2 exons. Lineage: Eukaryota; Metazoa; Arthropoda; Malacostraca; Decapoda; Portunidae.